Oncorhynchus tshawytscha (Chinook salmon) is the source of this 891-nucleotide long non-coding RNA. The record is from Ensembl. Lineage: Eukaryota; Metazoa; Chordata; Actinopteri; Salmoniformes; Salmonidae.
CCUGUUUCAAUAUGCAGAGGCAAAAUCCCUGAUCUUACCUGUUUCAAUAUGCAGAGGCAAAAUCCCUGAUCUUACCUGUUUCAAUACGCAGAGGCAAAAUCCCUGAUCUUACCUGUUUCAAUACGCAGAAGCAAUAUCCCUGAUCUUACCUGUUUCAAUAUGCAGAGGCAAAAUCCCUGAUCUUACCUGUUUCAAUACGCAGAGGCAAUAUCUCUGAUCUUACCUGUUUCAAUAUGCAGAGGCAAAAUCCCUGAUCUUACCUGUUUCAAUACGCAGAGGCAAUAUCUCUGAUCUUACCUGUUUCAAUACUCAGAGGCAAUAUCCCUGAUCUUACCUGUGUACAUAGAGAUCUCUUGAGAACUCCCCCUUAAUUAAGCAAAAGGUUCUCAAUUUGGGUUUAUGGUUAAUCUCCACCACCCAUUCUUUUUUCAUAUUGCAUCAACAGUUGUUUUUUAAUAAUAUCUGUCUCCCUUAAUUUGGUUUUCAUCCAGAUGUUCACAGAUAUAACUUUUAUUUUUGGAUUGACCUCUAUACUAUGUUGGGACAGCACUGCAAACUCCUGUCCACAUUGAAUGUCUUUCUGUCUGUCGUUCUUGAGUGUUCGUUCUGUGACUUCCUCUGAUACCUCCACGACCAGAACAGUGUGUAAAAGAGAGGUUGCGGCGCGGUUCAUUUUAUGGACGGAGUUUGUUCAGCAGAAUCCCAGGCAGCGUCCUCUUUUAAUUGGCUUCAAUUUAAAUGUAUGUUUAUAGCAGACGGUGUGAUAACAGGAAAAUGUAACCAGAAGAUUGUGUGUCUCUGUGUACAAGCAUUAGCCCUCCCUCCCUCCCUUCCUUCCUUCCUUCACUCCUUUCUAUCACUUCUCUCUCCCUAACUCCCCUCCUCCCUCCC